This 323-nucleotide ribosomal RNA is filed under the name Hypleurochilus pseudoaequipinnis. RNAcentral's name for it is "partial 12S ribosomal RNA". Lineage: Eukaryota; Metazoa; Chordata; Actinopteri; Blenniiformes; Blenniidae. The record is from RNAcentral.
AACCCAAAGGACUUGGCGGUGCUUAAUAACCCCCUAGAGGAGCCUGUUCUAGAACCGAUAACCCUCGUUAAACCUCACCCCUUUUUGUCUAUUCCGCCUAUAUACCGCCGUCGUCAGCUUACCCUGUGAAGGACUUAUAGUAAGCACAAUUAGUUUAAACCCAAAACGUCAGGUCGAGGUGUAGCAAAUGAAGGGGGAAGAAAUGGGCUACAUUUCCUGUAAUCAGGAUACACCGGAAAGUGCUCUGAAAAAGGCACUAAAAGGAGGAUUUAGUAGUAAGUGAAGAUCAGACUGCCCCACUGAAACCGGCCCUUAAGCGCGCA